This 1018-nucleotide ribosomal RNA is filed under the name uncultured organism. Its description in RNAcentral is "bacterial SSU rRNA". It matches the Rfam family "Bacterial small subunit ribosomal RNA", at positions 356 to 1376 of the family's 1533-position model. The record is from RNAcentral.
AGGGAAUUUUCGGCAAUGGGGGGAACCCUGACCGAGCAACGCCGCGUGAAGGAAGAAGGAAUUCGUUCUGUAAACUUCUGUUAUAAAGGAAGAACGGCGGAUAUAGGGAAUGAUAUCCGAGUGACGGUACUUUAUGAGAAAGCCACGGCUAACUACGUGCCAGCAGCCGCGGUAAUACGUAGGUGGCGAGCGUUAUCCGGAAUUAUUGGGCGUAAAGAGGGAGCAGGCGGCGGCAGAGGUCUGUGGUGAAAGACUGAAGCUUAACUUCAGUAAGCCAUAGAAACCGGGCUGCUAGAGUGCAGGAGAGGAUCGUGGAAUUCCAUGUGUAGCGGUGAAAUGCGUAGAUAUAUGGAGGAACACCAGUGGCGAAGGCGACGGUCUGGCCUGUAACUGACGCUCAUUCCCGAAAGCGUGGGGAGCAAAUAGGAUUAGAUACCCUAGUAGUCCACGCCGUAAACGAUGAGUACUAAGUGUUGGGAGUCAAAUUUCAGUGCUGCAGUUAACGCAAUAAGUACUCCGCCUGAGUAGUACGUUCGCAAGAAUGAAACUCAAAGGAAUUGACGGGGGCCCGCACAAGCGGUGGAGCAUGUGGUUUAAUUCGAAGCAACGCGAAGAACCUUACCAGGUCUUGACAUCCGGAUAAAGACCUCAGAGAUGAGGGGAUAGAUAUAUCCGAGACAGGUGGUGCAUGGUUGUCGUCAGCUCGUGUCGUGAGAUGUUGGGUUAAGUCCCGCAACGAGCGCAACCCUUGUCGCUAGUUACCAUCAUUAAGUUGGGGACUCUAGCGAGACUGCCAGUGACAAGCUGGAGGAAGGCGGGGAUGACGUCAAAUCAUCAUGCCCCUUAUGACCUGGGCUACACACGUGCUACAAUGGAUGGAGCAGAGGGAAGCGAAGCCGCGAGGUGAAGCAAAACCCAUAAAACCAUUCUCAGUUCGGAUUGUAGUCUGCAACUCGACUACAUGAAGUUGGAAUCGCUAGUAAUCGCGAAUCAGCAUGUCGCGGUGAAUACGUUCUCG